ACAUAGCCGAAAGUUGCAGAGAUGAAGGGUGAAAGUUGGAAUGAUUGGGUUUUGUGGGUCAGGUCUGUGACCUCGCUUUUCUCCUGGAGCAGAGGGAAUACUUGUCAUGGUAAUGGGGUAGCCCAGAGGGUGUGGAGAUGGCUGGGAAAGGUGAGGCUUCAGUUUGGGGGUCAGAGCAAGAGUCGGUCAGUGGUCACCUGGGACCUCCAGCAGGUGCAGCCCCCGAGACUCCCACGUGCCUGCCAGACACCACGCCCCACCCCGCACCGGUGGUCUGUUCUGCCGACCCACAGUAAGGAGAGGAGGGAGGACUGGUGAGCCUCCUGGGCCAGGUGGCCAGGGGCCCGGCCUGAGUAAGCAGCAGGGUCUGCUGCUGCUGCAGGUUGGCUCUUGAGUCCCUGGACCCUCGCACACUGCGGCUGCUGUGGAGGCAGCGAGAACUGGAGAUCCAGGCCUUGCGGUGGGCCGUCCAGAAUGGCCAGGACGCCUGGCGCUGCCACAUCCUGGAGGAGGUGGCGGGGCUUCCGCCCAAGAGGUCUGCAGCAGUCCCCAGCCCAACCCAACCCCGCCCUGUCCUCGCCCGGACUCCUGGUUUCUGUCUGACCCCAACCCCAACUGCUGAGUCAGAUCCUUACCCUCAUCCUUGCCCACGCUGAGCCUCUACCCUGAUC
RNAcentral lists this small RNA (671 nucleotides) under Pongo abelii (Sumatran orangutan). Its description in RNAcentral is "retained intron". The record is from RNAcentral. Lineage: Eukaryota; Metazoa; Chordata; Mammalia; Primates; Hominidae.